RNAcentral lists this ribosomal RNA (676 nucleotides) under uncultured Nitrososphaerota archaeon. RNAcentral's name for it is "bacterial SSU rRNA". It matches the Rfam family "Archaeal small subunit ribosomal RNA", at positions 81 to 760 of the family's 1478-position model. The record is from RNAcentral. Lineage: Archaea; Thermoproteati; Nitrososphaerota.
GCAUACGGCUCAGUAACACGUAGUCAACAUGCCCAGGGGACGUGGAUAACCUCGGGAAACUGAGGAUAAACCGCGAUAGGUCAUAAUAUCUGGAAUGAUUUCUGGCUGAAAUCUAUAUGGCCCCUGGAUUGGACUGCGGCCGAUCAGGCUGUUGGUGAGGUAAUGGCCCACCAAACCUAAAACCGGUACGGGCUCUGAGAGGAGAAGCCCGGAGAUGGGCACUGAGACAAGGGCCCAGGCCCUAUGGGGCGCAGCAGGCGCGAAAACUCUGCAAUAAGCGAAAGCUUGACAGGGUUAUUCUGAGUGAUUUCCGCUAAGGAAAUCUUUUGGCACCUCUAAAAAUGGUGCAGAAUAAGGGGUGGGCAAGCCUGGUGUCAGCCGCCGCGGUAAUACCAGCACCCCGAGUGGUCGGGACGAUUAUUGGGCCUAAAGCAUCCGUAGCCGGUUCUACAAGUCUUCCGUUAAAUCCACCUGCUUAACAGAUGGGCUGCGGAGGAUACUAUGGAGCUAGGAGGCGGGAGAGGCAAGCGGUACUUAGUGGGUAGGGGUAAAAUCCGUUGAUCCAUUGAAGACCACCAGUGGCGAAGGCGGCUUGCCAGAACGCACUCGACGGUGAGGGAUGAAAGCUGGGGGAGCAAACCGGAUUAGAUACCCGGGUAGUCCCAGCUGUAAACGA